GAAUAUGGAGAACCAGCUGGCUCAAAUUACAACAAUGCUGGCGGAAAUUUCCGAGCAAAUCAAGACUUUCGCUGUCCUACCUACUGCUGGAGAUCCAAAACCCCCUACAUUUAUGCCCAUUCCGUCUGCAUUCUUGAGUCGUCAACUAUUGAGCUUAUUGGAAAGGAAGUAGCUGGAGAAGUCCCUUCGGUCACACCUCUCAUAGUGGACCUUGAUCCUUCUUUGAAGGAAGAACUUGUCUUCCUUUUAGAAGAAAAGAGUACUAGACGCCUUGCCAAAAUGGAAGAGUGGUUGUUUUUGCUGUAAGGGCAUGAGAUGCAAGGGGUCGACAACUUGUCUCCCUAUUCAAGAGUGAGAAAAUUCCUUAAACCUUCAAGGUGCCAUAGUUCAACAAGAAGAAUGAUGGUACUGGGUGUCCUAAAAUACACCUCAAGUACUAUCUAAUGAAGAUGACCCAUAAAGCAAUGUUCUUCAUUGCUGCCAAUAUUCCUAGAAGGGUGCAUACCUUCGUGGGGAAAAAAAGGUCAGUUCCUCAUUCUAUGAUAGUGUCAUGAAAGAUCCAUUUAUUUGAAGAAAAAUAGUUUUCAGAAAAUCAUUUUCUAAUUUUUUGGUGUUUGGAUUAUGGAAAACUAGUCGAUCUAUGGAAAAUGCUUUUCCUGGAUAUGAAAACAAUGAGCUUAAAUUGGCAGUAAAUGACUUCGUCUUCUGACAAGAAGGAAUUCAUUUUCUCUGAACCAUCAAAUAAAUGAAAUCUAAAUGAGUUUUUUUUUUUUUUAUCAUGAAGUUUCAAUGAAACAAACAGACCCCCUUCUUGCCAGAAUGGGAAGUUGUUUUCCCACAAUCUAAGUUUGUUGUUCCAUAGAUCCAUUGGUUUUCUGUCAUCCAAACCUCGAAAAAUUCGAUAACAAUUAUGAGGGGACAAAUUUCCAUCAAACAAGCGAACCUUUAUUGUCUACUGAUAAAAUAAACCGAGUAAAGAUUCUACCAAUAAUGUGAUGCACUAUGCUUUUUAUACAAUUAUUGUUCACUGUACCAAUAUCAUAGGAUAGGGCUUAAGAGUAAUCAGUGUAGCCAAUAUGAAGUUUAAUUCCAAUAUGUCACAGACUCUUAAAUACUCUUUACGGAAGAGAGUGGGAUUUACACAACCAGCAAGCAUAAUCUCAAUCCAGUGAAUAUAAUUCAUUAGUUGCCAAAAUGAAUUCACGGCCCCUUGGAGUAUACGUUACUCGUGGUGUAAGUCGACAUGCUUGUCUCAUCUUGAUAAUUGAUUAAAUGAAUCUAUAUGCAUGGUAGAAUAUCAGGAUCAGAGACAUCAUACAUGGAUGGAUUUGAACAACAAAUCAAGUAGCCAUGGCAUGUGGACAUCUCAGCCAUAGUCUAAAAUCACUGGAAACAGAGACGCUGUAAAUGAGUCGAACAGGUAUAUUACACAACAAUCAUUCCAAACACUAAAGCAUAAGAAUGCUUCUCGAAAUUGUAUUUCGAAUUUCGUUCAGGCAUUUUAAUGAACACUUGGCGAUCAGUUCAAAAACAGAACACGGAGUCAUUAUCGAAGCGUCAAUUCCGAUCCCGACAAUUGCAAUGACAUCGGAACGCAUUUAAACUCCUACCAACAGAUCUACCAUCACCAUUUCUACGCUCACUCGAAACCUUAAAUCACAAACCUCGGAUUCAGCUCAAUAAACAAAGCAAUGAUGUACAUACCUCGGAGCCUGUCUUUGGCCGCGAACGGCGACGUCUUGGCGGCAGCAGCAUCGCAGGAGAUCGGCGUCCGCGUAGAAGAAGCUCCAAACGAGUCUCUCGAUUCUGUGUUUUUUAGCUUUCGGCUGUGACAUCUCUCUUGACUUCGGUGAUCGGCGACACGGGCGAAAAGAGAGAGAGA
This 1882-nucleotide long non-coding RNA is filed under the name Eucalyptus grandis. RNAcentral's name for it is "long non-coding RNA (EGRA_LNC002240)". The record is from RNAcentral. Lineage: Eukaryota; Viridiplantae; Streptophyta; Magnoliopsida; Myrtales; Myrtaceae.